GAUGAAGAACGUAGCGAAAUGCGAUAAGUAAUGUGAAUUGCAGAAUUCAGUGAACCAUCGAAUCUUUGAACGCACAUUGCGCCCGGCAGUAAUCUGCCGGGCAUGCCUGUCCGAGCGUCAUUUCUGCCCUCGAGCGAGUCCAGCAUCUAGGUGCUGGGCCCGCCCGGCGUUGGGGCACUACGGGAAGCCCUGUGCUGUCCCCCGUAGGCCCCGAAAUGAAGUGGCGGUCCUGCCGCGGCGCCCCCUGCGUAGUAUAACAGCUCGCUUCGGGACCCGGUGGAGGCCUGCCGUCAAACCUUACUCUCUAAGUUUGACCUCGGAUCAGGUAGGGUUACCCGCUGAACUUAAGCGUAUCAAUAAGCGGAGGA
RNAcentral lists this unclassified non-coding RNA (368 nucleotides) under soil metagenome. Its description in RNAcentral is "partial contains 5.8S ribosomal RNA, internal transcribed spacer 2, and large subunit ribosomal RNA". The stretch from base 1 to 120 matches the Rfam family "5.8S ribosomal RNA", at positions 35 to 154 of the family's 154-position model. The record is from RNAcentral.